GGAUGUGAGAGUAACCUGGCUGUGACAUCUGUCACCCCAUUGAUGGCCAGGAUUGAUUCAGCUAAUCUGGCUGGCUGGGGGGGGGGUCCCCUUCCUCCCUCACUGCUCCAUGUGUGUCCCUCCCAAAGCUCCCAUCCCUGAUAGAGGAGGACCAGUCUUCCAUCAAGUGUAUACGAGUAGCUGCGCUUCCCUGCCAGAACCUCCAGACAAGCUCUAAAGAAUUUAAUUCAGAGACAAGAAUCAUCAUAAGUUCAAAAAGAGAUUUAUCAUAGAGAGAUGACACAUUAUAUUCUUUUUU
Molecule: unclassified non-coding RNA, 298 nt
Organism: Dipodomys ordii (Ord's kangaroo rat)
Lineage: Eukaryota; Metazoa; Chordata; Mammalia; Rodentia; Heteromyidae
Gene: 7SK
Rfam family: 7SK RNA
About the family: 7SK was discovered as an abundant small nuclear RNA in the mid-70s but a possible function has only recently been suggested. Two independent studies have found that 7SK RNA binds the CDK9/cyclin T complex (known as elongation factor P-TEFb).
Source: Ensembl